AAGGCUAUCCCCUUUGGUACUUUAUGCCGUAAGCAGGGAAAGUAGAUAUGCCGAACCAUCCACUUAUGAACAGGCAUAUUCCACAUUCUCCAAUACUCAUCGACUGUUCUUGCAUUCCACCAAUCUUUAUAGAACUCUCGAUCACCAAAGCGAAGGAGCUCAGCAAGUAUAUUUAACCAUAGAUGAAAAAAGCAGUAGAACAUGCAGAGCCACACAUAUAAAUUUGGAACUGAAAGCUUCAAAACCCUCUCUAUAGCAUAUAAGAGAUCCCCCUUUAAAGGAUGUUGUGAAUUCUGGACAAUAGGAUUGAUAUAUUGUUCUAUGAUAAAUCCCAUGAAUCCUGUAAAUAUUA
Molecule: unclassified non-coding RNA, 352 nt
Filed under: Hevea brasiliensis (rubber tree)
Lineage: Eukaryota; Viridiplantae; Streptophyta; Magnoliopsida; Malpighiales; Euphorbiaceae
Source: RNAcentral